AAUUAAAAUAAAUGCAAUAUUUUUUUAAGAAAUCGUAUCAACAAACUCAAAAAAUGUGUUUUAAAUUUACCUAAAAAUUAAUAACAUUUAGCUGUUUAAACAUUUCUAGACAUUUAGUUUUCUCUGAAAAAGUACUCAAAAAUAGACUCUUUUUUUGCACUCUAAACUAAAAUAUUCUUGUAAAUGCUUAAUUAUCAUUUUGGUUUGUUUGAUCAAAAGUGAAAGAACAAUUAGGAAUUCUUCAAUUCUCAGUAAGAGUUGAUCAUGAUUAAAGUAAUAUGAAUUGAAUUGCAUCCAGGUUCUCGUAACGAGUCUGUCGUUACAACAAGUCGACUAUCAAGAACCCGCGAACUUCUGGCUGGGCCCGAGAGCCGCGGAUCUAAUUCACUUUGACGCUAAGUUUGCACCAUAUAUGCGCCGAGAUAUCAAGAUACUGAAGGAGAUCUGGCCGAUGUGUGGCGAGAAAGAGGACGGGGUACCGCUUGCUGCAUCAGCAGUUUAGCAAAACAAACUGUUUUGUCCGAGAAUUGAGAUCCACUGCUAUGGUAAAUUACGUAAUUUUUUCUUCGAUUUUUAGCUUCCUAGAAAAUGGCACUUGAGUGAAAAAAAAAUAAAGAAAAAAUAUUUUCCAUUUGUCGCUUGUUAUAUGCAUCACAAUUUUUUAUUAUUUUAAUUGAAAUAUAGAAAAACAGUGAUGUAAGAACAAACACUUUCUGACUAAAUAUAGAAAAUUAUUUAA
Long non-coding RNA from Solenopsis invicta (red fire ant), 739 nucleotides. RefSeq lists it as uncharacterized. The record is from RefSeq and is a predicted model, not a curated record. NCBI's taxonomy places the organism in Eukaryota, Metazoa, Arthropoda, Insecta, Hymenoptera, Formicidae. The transcript has 2 exons.